Molecule: non-coding RNA, 28 nt
Filed under: Homo sapiens (human)
Lineage: Eukaryota; Metazoa; Chordata; Mammalia; Primates; Hominidae
Source: RNAcentral
UGAAGAACUGGGAGGCUGAUGUUCAAGG